This 253-nucleotide ribosomal RNA is filed under the name uncultured bacterium. Its description in RNAcentral is "partial 16S ribosomal RNA". It matches the Rfam family "Bacterial small subunit ribosomal RNA", at positions 524 to 776 of the family's 1533-position model. The record is from RNAcentral.
UACGUAGGGUGCAAGCGUUGUCCGGAAUUAUUGGGCGUAAAGAGCUCGUAGGCGGUCUGUCGCGUCGGCUGUGAAAACUCGGGGCUCGACUCCGAGCUUGCAGUCGAUACGGGCAGGCUAGAGUUCGGCAGGGGAGACUGGAAUUCCUGGUGUAGCGGUGAAAUGCGCAGAUAUCGGGAGGAACACCGGUGGCGAAGGCGGUUCUCUGGGCCUGUUCUGACGCUGAGGAGCGAAAGCGUGGGGAGCAAACAGG